CCCCUCUCAGGGUCUCACACCUGGAGAGUUUCCAGUACUCUACCAGUCUUGAAUACAGGAGGGAGAGUCAAGCAGAGGCAUACCCAUUAUUCCAUUCUUAGCUUGGGCAGUGGCUAGCGAGUGGAAGGCGAUCUGCUACAAGU
This is a small nucleolar RNA of Ornithorhynchus anatinus (platypus), 143 nucleotides long. Lineage: Eukaryota; Metazoa; Chordata; Mammalia; Monotremata; Ornithorhynchidae. The record is from RefSeq and is a predicted model, not a curated record.